GGAGAUGUGGCCGAGUGGUUUAAGGCGCUCGCCUGGAAAGCGUGUUGGGGGCAACCCCUCGGAGGUUCGAAUCCUCUCAUCUCCGCCA
This 88-nucleotide transfer RNA is filed under the name Pseudomonas fluorescens. RNAcentral describes it as "tRNA-Ser". It matches the Rfam family "tRNA". From Rfam's summary of the family: Transfer RNA (tRNA) molecules are approximately 80 nucleotides in length. Their secondary structure includes four short double-helical elements and three loops (D, anti-codon, and T loops). The record is from RNAcentral. Lineage: Bacteria; Pseudomonadati; Pseudomonadota; Gammaproteobacteria; Pseudomonadales; Pseudomonadaceae.